CUGGAGGUAGCUCAGUGGUAAAGUGCAUGUUUUAUAUGCAGGAUGUCCUGGGUUCAAUCUCCUGCUUUUCGC
This is a non-coding RNA of Dallia pectoralis (Alaska blackfish), 72 nucleotides long. NCBI's taxonomy places the organism in Eukaryota, Metazoa, Chordata, Actinopteri, Esociformes, Umbridae. The record is from the annotation of a GenBank genome assembly.